This 429-nucleotide ribosomal RNA is filed under the name Chloroflexota bacterium. Its description in RNAcentral is "Chloroflexi bacterium partial 16S ribosomal RNA". It matches the Rfam family "Bacterial small subunit ribosomal RNA", at positions 355 to 776 of the family's 1533-position model. The record is from RNAcentral. Lineage: Bacteria; Bacillati; Chloroflexota.
UGGGGAAUAUUGCACAAUGGGCGCAAGCCUGAUGCAGCCAUGCCGCGUGUGUGAAGAAGGCCUUCGGGUUGUAAAGCACUUUCAGCGGGGAGGAAGGCGGUGAGGUUAAUAACCUCAUCGAUUGACGUUACCCGCAGAAGAAGCACCGGCUAACUCCGUGCCAGCAGCCGCGGUAAUACGGAGGGUGCAAGCGUUAAUCGGAAUUACUGGGCGUAAAGCGCACGCAGGCGGUCUGUCAAGUCGGAUGUGAAAUCCCCGGGCUCAACCAGGGAACUGCAUUCGAAACUGGCAGGCUAGAGUCUUGUAGAGGGGGGUAGAAUUCCAGGUGUAGCGGUGAAAUGCGUAGAGAUCUGGAGGAAUACCGGUGGCGAAGGCGGCCCCCUGGACAAAGACUGACGCUCAGGUGCGAAAGCGUGGGGAGCAAACAGG